AGAAAAACUCCGAUGUUCGAGGUCUACUCUUGUCAGCCACCUACUACGGCCGUGCACCUCUGAGGUCCGGCCGAAGACCAUACCCUGACGCCCCUCUGCCAUUUAUUGCGCAUGGUCGCUGUAACCCUCCGGCUCACUCCACAAUAAAUGCGGAUCUCCGGCUUACUCCACAAUUAAUGCGGAUCUCCGGCUUACUCCACAAUUAAUGCGGAUCUCCGGCUUACUCCACAAUAAAUGCGGAUCUCCGGCUUACUCCACAAUUAAUGCGCAUGGCUCCUGUCAUCUACGGACUCUCAGCUCUCCACGACAAAUUAGCCCAGCAGAGUCUAGUCGACUAUGAUAAGUCUCUGAUCCCGGCCAUACCUCCGACACCAAUGCAAUAAUUCGCCUGGUAGCGUGCUAGUUCGGGUUGUACGACGCCCUCACCGCCGACAUCGGUGCAAUGAUUCGCCUGACCGUGCGCCGACCUGAACAACAUGCCGAGCCGUAUUACGGCCUCGCCCUGUUACAUCGCAGGUAAACCGACCCCCGCCUAUAAAAGGGAGCCUUGGCCUCUCAGGAGGGGGAAAGAUUGAUGCACUCUACAGACA
Molecule: long non-coding RNA, 590 nt
Filed under: Phoenix dactylifera (date palm)
Lineage: Eukaryota; Viridiplantae; Streptophyta; Magnoliopsida; Arecales; Arecaceae
Description: long non-coding RNA (PDAC_LNC005465)
Source: RNAcentral